RNAcentral lists this ribosomal RNA (324 nucleotides) under uncultured eukaryote. RNAcentral's name for it is "partial 18S ribosomal RNA". It matches the Rfam family "Eukaryotic small subunit ribosomal RNA", at positions 1470 to 1796 of the family's 1831-position model. The record is from RNAcentral.
CCCUUAGAUGUUCUGGGCCGCACGCGCGCUACACUGACGAAUGCAACGAGCUUAUAACCUUGGCCGACAGGCCUGGGCAAUCUUUGAACAUCGAUCGUGAUCGGGAUAGAUUCUUGUAAUUUUUGAUCUUAAACGAGGAAUUCCUAGUAAACGCAAGUCAUCAGCUUGCAUUGAUUACGUCCCUGCCCUUUGUACACACCGCCCGUCGCACCUACCGAUUGAAUGGUCCGGUGAAAUCUCCGGACUGGCGUGAGUCGGAGCAAUCUGACAAACACCGGAAAGUUGAUUAAACCUUACCAUUUAGAGGAAGGUGAANUCGUANCA